GCCGCCGAGGGAGCGGCGGGGCCGGCGCCAUGGCCGAGCGAGGCCGCCUCGGCCUCCCCGGCGCGCCCGGCGCGCUCAACACGCCUGUGCCCAUGAACCUGUUCGCCACCUGGGAGGUGGACGGCUCCAGCCCCAGCUGCGUGCCCAGGUUGUGCAGCCUGACUCUGAAGAAGCUGGUGGUCUUUAAGGAGCUGGAGAAGGAGCUGAUCUCCGUGGUGAUCGCUGUCAAGAUGCAGGUGAGGCCCCUUGCGCCCCCAGCCGUGGCUGGGUGCUGUGUAGGCUUUCCAUGUACCUGGGAGACGAGUCAGGCGGUGCGCUAGCGUGGGGCGUUGUGCCAAAACUGCGGGCAGCCCAUGCCAUCUCCGGGAGCCGGGGGGCUGGGAAUGACAGGAUGCUCCUGG
This 401-nucleotide small RNA is filed under the name Pongo abelii (Sumatran orangutan). RNAcentral's name for it is "retained intron". The record is from RNAcentral. Lineage: Eukaryota; Metazoa; Chordata; Mammalia; Primates; Hominidae.